UUUAGUUUGGUCUAUGGGUCAAAUUCCAUGAUACCAGUGGAUAUACAAGAGAAUUCUCCUAGGUUCCAAAGCUUUGUUGUUGAGGAAUCUAGCGGAGGAAGGAAGGUAAACCUGGAUUUGUUGGACAAAGUGCGUGAACAUGCCUGUAUUAACUCGGAGGAUUUAAAGAGAAGGGUGGAGUUAAAGCAAAAGACCAAGACGAAACCUUGGCAGUUCAAGGUUGUCGACUUGGUGAUGCGAAAGGC
RNAcentral lists this long non-coding RNA (245 nucleotides) under Phaseolus vulgaris (common bean). Its description in RNAcentral is "long non-coding RNA (PVUL_LNC003905)". Lineage: Eukaryota; Viridiplantae; Streptophyta; Magnoliopsida; Fabales; Fabaceae. The record is from RNAcentral.